GGAAUAUUGCACAAUGGAGGAAACUCUGAUGCAGCGACGCCGCGUGAGCGAUGAAGGCCUUCGGGUUGUAAAGCUCUGUGAUAUGGGAAGAUAAUGACGGUACCAUAUCAGAAAGGACCGGCUAACUUCGUGCCAGCAGCCGCGGUAAUACGAGGGGUCCAAGCGUUGUUCGGAAUUACUGGGCGUAAAGCGGGUGUAGGCGGCUGUUUUAGUCGGAUGUGAAAGCCCAGGGCUCAACCCUGGAAGUGCAUCCGAUACUGGACAGCUUGAGUACUGGAGAGGGAAGUGGAAUUCCUGGUGUAGCGGUGAAAUGCGUAGAUAUCAGGAGGAACAUCGGUGGCGAAGGCGGC
RNAcentral lists this ribosomal RNA (350 nucleotides) under uncultured bacterium. RNAcentral describes it as "bacterial SSU rRNA". It matches the Rfam family "Bacterial small subunit ribosomal RNA", at positions 358 to 725 of the family's 1533-position model. The record is from RNAcentral.